Molecule: transfer RNA, 87 nt
Filed under: Prevotellaceae bacterium
Lineage: Bacteria; Pseudomonadati; Bacteroidota; Bacteroidia; Bacteroidales; Prevotellaceae
Description: tRNA-Ser
Rfam family: tRNA
About the family: Transfer RNA (tRNA) molecules are approximately 80 nucleotides in length. Their secondary structure includes four short double-helical elements and three loops (D, anti-codon, and T loops).
Source: RNAcentral
GGUGAGGUGGGUGAGUGGCUUAAACCAACAGUUUGCUAAACUGUCGUAGAGUAACUUCUACCGGGGGUUCGAAUCCCCCCCUCACCG